This is a long non-coding RNA of Solanum pennellii, 183 nucleotides long. RefSeq lists it as uncharacterized. The record is from RefSeq and is a predicted model, not a curated record. NCBI's taxonomy places the organism in Eukaryota, Viridiplantae, Streptophyta, Magnoliopsida, Solanales, Solanaceae. The transcript has 2 exons.
AAUUAAUUCAUGUUUAGCAGAGACAAGAUAAGCGCGAUAGAGAAACACCAUUUCAAUCCUUUUUCCCCUAUCAUGAAGGACAGUGAAUAUGUGAUGUAUCUUUGGCAUGAAACUGAAAUGAGAAGGAAAUAAAAGGAGGAUCGAAAGAAGAUGAUGCAGAAACAAGCAGAUGUAGAUAGUGAU